RNAcentral lists this ribosomal RNA (468 nucleotides) under uncultured bacterium. RNAcentral describes it as "partial 16S ribosomal RNA". It matches the Rfam family "Bacterial small subunit ribosomal RNA", at positions 28 to 507 of the family's 1533-position model. The record is from RNAcentral.
GACGAACGCUGGCGGCGUGCUUAACACAUGCAAGUCGAACGGAAAGGCCCUGCUUUUGUGGGGUUCUGGAGGGGGGAACGGGGGAGUAACAGGUGAGUAACCUGCCCUUGACUUUGGGAUAACUUCAGGAAACUGGGGCUAAUACCGGAUAGGAGCUGCUGCUGCAUGGUGGGGGUUGGAAAGUUUCGGCGGUUGGGGAUGGACUCGCGGCUUAUGAGCUUGUUGGUGGGGGAGGGGCUUACCAAGGGUUGGGCGGGUAGCCGGCCUGAGAGGGUGAACGGCCACAUUGGGACUGCGAUACGGCGCAGACUCCUACGGGAGGCAGCAGUGGGGAAUAUUGCACAAUGAGCGGAAGCCUGAUGCAGAAACGCCGCGUGCGGGAUGACGGCCUUCGGGUUGUAAACCGCUUUCGCCUGUGACGCAGCGUGAGUGACGGUAAUGGGUAAAUAAGCACCGGCUAACUACGUG